CCGAUGACGAUGGACAUAGAGCAGAUGCCUGAUACCCCACAGCGAGGGUCCCACCACAGGCGGGCCCAUUCCGACACCUCCUUCCGCUUCGACGACCUCCUCCUCUUCGACCCCUCUGACCUCGACCUCUCUUCUCUCGACCUCCCUACUCCCACACCACAUCGCGGCGCUCCCACGGCCGUCGAUUCUGGCUCCGUAUCCGAUGACUCCGCAUCUCACAGUGGACCAAAUACAAAGCCCAAACCGAUCAAUCACCUACGGAGCUUGUCCGUGGACUCGGAUUUCUUUGAUGGGUUGGGCCUUACGGCUGUCGGUGGAGAUGAGAAGUUUGGCGGGAGAGCGGCGGCGACGGCUGCGGCGGGAGCAGGAGUAGGAGCCGGAGAGAAGAGGGUCCACCACAGGCAUAGCAAUUCGAUGGAUGGAUCUAUGACGUCGUCGUUUGACUUAGAUUCUGUUAUGGUUGAUGAUAUUAAGAAAUCUAUGGGUCCUGAUAGGCUUAAUGAGCUCGCUUUGAUUGAUCCCAAGAGAGCUAAAAGGAUUCUUGCUAACAGGCAAUCUGCAGC
This 563-nucleotide unclassified non-coding RNA is filed under the name Hevea brasiliensis (rubber tree). Lineage: Eukaryota; Viridiplantae; Streptophyta; Magnoliopsida; Malpighiales; Euphorbiaceae. The record is from RNAcentral.